This 578-nucleotide ribosomal RNA is filed under the name Enterococcus faecalis. Its description in RNAcentral is "bacterial SSU rRNA". It matches the Rfam family "Bacterial small subunit ribosomal RNA", at positions 69 to 628 of the family's 1533-position model. Lineage: Bacteria; Bacillati; Bacillota; Bacilli; Lactobacillales; Enterococcaceae. The record is from RNAcentral.
CCCGAGUGCUUGCACUCAAUUGGAAAGAGGAGUGGCGGACGGGUGAGUAACACGUGGGUAACCUACCCAUCAGAGGGGGAUAACACUUGGAAACAGGUGCUAAUACCGCAUAACAGUUUAUGCCGCAUGGCAUAAGAGUGAAAGGCGCUUUCGGGUGUCGCUGAUGGAUGGACCCGCGGUGCAUUAGCUAGUUGGUGAGGUAACGGCUCACCAAGGCCACGAUGCAUAGCCGACCUGAGAGGGUGAUCGGCCACACUGGGACUGAGACACGGCCCAGACUCCUACGGGAGGCAGCAGUAGGGAAUCUUCGGCAAUGGACGAAAGUCUGACCGAGCAACGCCGCGUGAGUGAAGAAGGUUUUCGGAUCGUAAAACUCUGUUGUUAGAGAAGAACAAGGACGUUAGUAACUGAACGUCCCCUGACGGUAUCUAACCAGAAAGCCACGGCUAACUACGUGCCAGCAGCCGCGGUAAUACGUAGGUGGCAAGCGUUGUCCGGAUUUAUUGGGCGUAAAGCGAGCGCAGGCGGUUUCUUAAGUCUGAUGUGAAAGCCCCCGGCUCAACCGGGGAGGGUCAUUG